This 494-nucleotide ribosomal RNA is filed under the name uncultured bacterium. RNAcentral describes it as "partial 16S ribosomal RNA". It matches the Rfam family "Bacterial small subunit ribosomal RNA", at positions 28 to 507 of the family's 1533-position model. The record is from RNAcentral.
GACGAACGCUGGCGGCGUGCUUGACACAUGCAAGUCGAACGGAAAGGCCUGCUUUCCCUUGUGGAUUGCGGGUACUCGAGUGGCGAACGGGUGAGUAACACGUGAGUGAUCUGCCCCCAACUUGGGUAUAAGCCUGGGAAACUGGGUCUAAUUCCCGAUAGGACUGCAGGGUGGUGCCUGUGGUGGAAAACGAUUUUCUAGUGGUUGGGGAUGAGCUCGCGGCCUAUCAGCUUGUUGGUGGGGUAAUGGCCUACCAAGGCGGCGACGGGUAGCCGGCCUGAGAGGGUGGACGGCCACAUUGGGACUGAGGUACGGCCCAGACUCCUACGGGAGGCAGCAGUGGGGAAUAUUGCACAAUGGGCGGAAGCCUGAUGCAGCGACGCCGCGUGGGGGAUGACGGCCUUCGGGUUGUAAACUCCUUUCGACCGCGAGGAAGCCACCUGGUUGGAAGGGUGGUGACGGUAGUGGUAGAAGAAGCACCGGCUAACUACGUG